Raphanus sativus (radish) is the source of this 1438-nucleotide long non-coding RNA. RefSeq lists it as uncharacterized. NCBI's taxonomy places the organism in Eukaryota, Viridiplantae, Streptophyta, Magnoliopsida, Brassicales, Brassicaceae. The record is from RefSeq and is a predicted model, not a curated record. The transcript has 7 exons.
CGAACAGUUCUUCUCUCUUGACUUUUCCACUUCAUCUUCUCCGAUUUAAGAUUUUUUUUUCAUAACCUUCUCAAUAAAUGAUGAUCUUAAAAUCAUUCUUGAAUGUUUCUUUCCACCUCCAUGUGAUCCUUCUCCUAUAUAAAGCUAUAUGUCUUAACCUAAAUUAACCCAAAAUCAAAACCUAAAGUUACAUCCAUAGCCAUGAAAUCCACGGCAAAAUCUCAGCUCUCCACUCGCACUUUAUUCUAAGCCCAACCGCACGAUCUCUACUUCUACUCAGCCACCGUCAAAUCGAAAAUGCAAUUCCUCUGGUAAAAGCUCAUCGCCGGCGAAUCUCCUUCAGAGCUGAAUCAUCAUCAUCCAGGUUCUUACCAUGUGACGUCUCUCAGCUUUGUCUACCCGUCGAGAAUAUCAGUCUUCAGCUCCGGUGAAGCAACCAAUGAGCUACAAAUGCUUCUUAAAACAGUGAGCAACCAAAUGAAGUGAAAUUCAAAAGGCUGCGUAAGGGGAACCCUCCAAUUAAGCGCAAGAUACUCAACUUUACAGCUGCGAUUGAGAUCCUUCCGUGGUUGGCUUUGUGGAAGAGAUUGUAUCGAAAGGCAGAGGAGCAUAGGAACGUAAUGACCCAGGCCUCUUGUGGAUUGCCAAGUCUAUGAUUGAAUCACACACCAUAGGUUCCAGGAUAUAUAAAACUUCAUAAAAGUAAGAUUUGGGACUGAUAAUAUAUGAAGCGUGGUUCUGUAACACUGGUGGAAGCAUAUAAUAUUACCUCUAAUUGGAGUGUGGAUCUAUAUGAAAAAGGAGAGAGAUGAAAGUCUGAAACUAAAUUGGUGUCCAUGAAAUAACAACAGAACAGUUGGUGUUCUCAGGUUCCGUGUCCAGUUCUGUGUCUGAUGGGACAGUGCGGUUGGGUUGUCCAUUUGAUGGAGAGAUGACUAAACUAAUCAACGAACGUUCAGCAGAUGUGCUCAACUUUUUUUUUUGUAACUUAGAUGUGCCCAACUUACGACGGCCCAGGUGUGGAGGACCCCAAUCAAAGACACAAUGGUUAGAGGACUGGUUUGGAGGAAGAAUCAUGCACGAGUAGUGGAAGCCAUGAACUGCUUCAUCAUGGUGGAGUCAAGCCUGACAGUGAUCUGCUUCAUCAUGGUGGAAACCAUGAUCUGCUACAUCAUGGUGGAGUGAAGCCUGACAGUGUAGAACUUCAGGAUGUGCACACCAUCAAGAAGACCCGAAAUGGUUAGCUUCGCAUAAGAGGGAGUGUCCAAGCCCAACGAUUUAACCAGAAUAGUAUUAAAAACUCUAGAGAAGGAUAAAAGCCAUGCUACUACACUAUGACGAAACGAUUUUAUCUUUUCGGUUCUUUGAUAAAAUAAUAAUUCUUUUGAUACUUUAAACUAAUUACUGUAAAUUUUAAUAAUUGUUGUUUUUAAUUGUC